RNAcentral lists this long non-coding RNA (866 nucleotides) under Mytilus galloprovincialis (Mediterranean mussel). Lineage: Eukaryota; Metazoa; Mollusca; Bivalvia; Mytilida; Mytilidae. The record is from RNAcentral.
UUAGCGGGCUGAUAUGAAAAGUUUAUCACAUGCUUCGAUUGUUAUCACAUGCCUUUCCGUAACGUUAUCACAUAGCAUUCCGGUGAUACUCGGCAAAUUCCGGAAAAUACACCUCAAUGCUACGUUUUCAGUGAAAAACAUUACGAAAUAGUGUACAAAACAAUUAUUUAGAUACUGAAAAGUAUAAAGUGUAAAAUAAUAACAAAAAACAAAAAAAAAAAAAAACCAAACAAACAAAAUUUAAAAAACAAACAAACAAAUUAUUAAAUAAAUGCAUUCUUUAUAUUUUUCAAACAUAAUUUAGAAAAUUACUUUGAAAAAAGUUGACUUUUCCAAACAGUGUUCAUUAUGUUUAUUGUUGUUUGUUGCUUUUUUUUUGGUUUGUCGAGUCGUCCAUAUUAAAAAUGUGUUCUCCUCUGUUGAGGCAUAUGGUAGAAAGAUUUGAUAUCGAAUGUACUAAAUUUGGGUCGAACGUCCGUGAACUUUUCAAUCUUUGAACUUCUAUUUGGGAACCACGUCAAAGGAUCAAUAUAUGAAUCUGUUAUUUUACUCCAAUGCCAUGUAAUAAUAUCAGAUUAUUACAUGACAUUUUUCAUAUCGCAUGUAUUAUCAGCCCUAGGUUCAAUAUCAGCCCAAGAGCCGCAUGGCUCGAGGGCUGAUAUUGACUGAGGGCUGAUAAUACAUGCGAUAUGAAAAAUGACAUGUUAUGAUCUUUUUAUCAUAUGCUUCAACAGUGGAGAAAAAUAACAGAUUCAUAUAUUGAUUCUUCUACGUGGUUCCCGAAAAGAAGUUGAAAGAGUAAAAAGUUCACGGACGUCGGACCCAAAAUUUGAUACAUUCAAUAUGAAAUCUUUCCAUCAUAUGCC